RNAcentral lists this ribosomal RNA (301 nucleotides) under uncultured bacterium. RNAcentral describes it as "partial 16S ribosomal RNA". It matches the Rfam family "Bacterial small subunit ribosomal RNA", at positions 509 to 807 of the family's 1533-position model. The record is from RNAcentral.
CAGCCGCCGCGGGAAUACGUAGGGUCCGAGCGUUGUCCGGAAUUAUUGGGCGUAAAGGGCUCGUAGGCGGUUUGUCGCGUCGGGAGUGAAAACCAGGUGCUUAACACCUGGCCUGCUUUCGAUACGGGCAGACUAGAGGCAUUCAGGGGAGAACGGAAUUCCUGGUGUAGCGGUGAAAUGCGCAGAUAUCAGGAGGAACACCGGUGGCGAAGGCGGUUCUCUGGGAAUGUCCUGACGCUGAGGAGCGAAAGUGUGGGGAGCGAACAGGAUUAGAUACCCCGGUAGUCCCUGUCUCUUAUAC